AGGAGCGCCCCCGCCCCGCCCAGGCGAGAGCCAGCGAGAGAUCAAAGCGAAACUUGGAGAAAUUGACUCUCUUUUUUUGGGACAACAAGCUCCAGAAUCCCCGAGCCUCUGAAUAUUUGGGAGGUACAAGCAGAAGGAGAAAACUCACCGUUCUGAAUGGUCUUUUACAUCUGCAAUUGUUCUUCUGUCUCCCUUGCCAGCCUUUCUGUCUGGCUGUCUGAUUCAUGGAAAAUCCCCGCCUGAAGAACUGGCAGAAGUUCCAUUGCUGGAAUGCCUUGAAAAAUGAAACUACGCUGUACUGUAGAGACAGCUCAAGACUUCCACAUCAUCCCUCUCCUGCUGCUCAUUUCCAUGUUCAUCUUCUGUAUGGCACUUAGUGGUAUCAUGGUAAAUUUGAAGAUCCCCAUCAUUACAGUCUCCACAGCUGAUGGUGCCCCCAUUUCCCAUAAGAAAAGUCUUAAAAUGCAGGCAGUUGAAUUGGAUCAACAAAUAGGGAAUAGAUAUUUUGUAAAGGUAAUAGCUUUUAAUUGCCCAUUCAGGGUGAAAUCACAUUCAAAUACUUUGCAUUUCAACAGGAACAGCCUGCACCUGUAUAUUGUUCCUGUGCAAAUCAUUUUCUUUCCCAGUUGCUGUGAGAAUUGCAGUAAACUCCCAAGCAAGCAGAGAAGCCUAAAGUGGGGGUGGGUUGGGUGAGUAGUGGAUGAUGCCAUCACAGAAAAUCUUAGGGCUUUGAUCCUACAAGUCCUGGCUCCUAUACAUCACAGAUGGUCGUAUAAAAUUAUGCAAAGCAUGUAUUUUUGCCAAUAAGCUCUGCUUCCUUAUGCCAGGUUCUCCACCCCAUUCCUAUUCUCAUUGGGAAACACAAGCCAGGGAGAAACCUGUGCAACCCCAGGUGGAAAAUAACAGAGGCAUUCUCCAUGCCUCUCUCUGCAUGGAGAAGGGGAAAUAAAGGAAAGGGGUGUGGCCAAAUGAAGAAGAUAAAUGGGUAAAACUUGGUAGACACACACAGAGAGAGGACUAAAUCUGAAAUGACUGGAAGUCUACUUCUGGUUUUGCAAAAUGUGUAUUUUUUUUUUACAGUGUUAAAUUAUUGGAGUGGGGUGAUUGGCGUGUUGCAACCUAUUUAAAUGGUGAAUUACUGCUCCUGUAACAAUAGUACAUUUUUUUUUACUGGCAGUGAAGUUAGGUCUACAAAAACAGCCUUAAGGACGUGCCUGUGGCCCCAGAGCCAUAAAUUGAGCCGCCUUACCUUGUCAGCCGCCCAGAAUGGUGCUCUGUCACUGGAUGGGUAGGAUAAAAAUGCAGUCAAUGAAGAUCAUUCAGGUCAAGCACUUAGAUAUAAUUGCCUCCUACUGGUCAAAAUGCAAAAGAGUCAAUUUCUGGAUUCGAUUGGAAGCAUGGAUCCAAAAUCUUUAAUGAAGGGGCAAGUGGGAGAUAACAUGUUCAACUGUUGUCCAAAAAACUAACAUUUCCAAGCUUUGUGUUCCAGGU
This is a non-coding RNA of Pogona vitticeps (central bearded dragon), 1491 nucleotides long. The record is from RefSeq and is a predicted model, not a curated record. Lineage: Eukaryota; Metazoa; Chordata; Lepidosauria; Squamata; Agamidae.